RNAcentral lists this ribosomal RNA (253 nucleotides) under uncultured bacterium. Its description in RNAcentral is "partial 16S ribosomal RNA". It matches the Rfam family "Bacterial small subunit ribosomal RNA", at positions 524 to 776 of the family's 1533-position model. The record is from RNAcentral.
UACGUAGGGGGCAAGCGUUGUCCGGAUUUAUUGGGCGUAAAGAGCGUGUAGGCGGCCAGGUAGGUCGGUUGUGAAAACUCGAGGCUCAACCUCGAGAUGUCGACCGAAACCAUCUGGCUAGAGUCCGGAAGAGGAGAAUGGAAUUCCCGGUGUAGCGGUGAAAUGCGCAGAUAUCGGGAAGAACACCCGUGGCGAAGGCGGCUCUCUGGGACGGUACUGACGCUGAGACGCGAAAGCGUGGGGAGCGAACAGG